AGAGUUGAUCCUGGCUCAGAAUGAACGCUGGCGGCGUGCCUAACACAUGCAAGUCGAACGAGAAAGCGGGCUUCGGUCCGCUAGUAAAGUGGCAGACGGGUGAGUAACACGUGGGUAACCUGUCCAAAGGUGGGGGAUAACCCUCCGAAAGGAGGACUAAUACCGCAUGACAUCCCGGAGACUUCGGUUUCUUGGAUCAAAGCUAGCCUCUACAUGUAAGCUAGCGCCAUUGGGGGGGCCCGCGGCCCAUUAGCUUGUUGGUGAGGUAACGGCUCACCAAGGCUUCGAUGGGUAGCCGGCCUGAGAGGGCGAUCGGCCACACUGGAACUGAGACACGGUCCAGACUCCUACGGGAGGCAGCAGUGAGGAAUUUUGCGCAAUGGGGGAAACCCUGACGCAGCGACGCCGCGUGGAGGACGAAGGCCUUCGGGUCGUAAACUCCUGUCAAGUGGGACGAAGGCCGGGAGGAUGAAUAAGCCUUUCGGAUUGACGGUACCAUUGAAGGAAGCCCCGGCUAACUCCGUGCCAGCAGCCGCGGUAAUACGGAAGGGGCAAGCGUUGUUCGGAAUUAUUGGGCGUAAAGGGCGCGUAGGCGGUUUAGUUAGUCAGUCGUGAAAUCCCUCGGCUCAACCGAGGAACUGCGAUUGAUACUGCUGAACUUGAGUCCCGGAGAGGGUAGUGAAUUCCCAGUGUAGCGGUGAAUGCGUAGAUAUUGGGAGGAACAUCGGUGGCGAAGCGGCUACCUGGACGGGUACUGACGCUGAAGGGCGA
This 771-nucleotide ribosomal RNA is filed under the name uncultured bacterium. RNAcentral's name for it is "bacterial SSU rRNA". It matches the Rfam family "Bacterial small subunit ribosomal RNA", at positions 8 to 756 of the family's 1533-position model. The record is from RNAcentral.